RNAcentral lists this ribosomal RNA (253 nucleotides) under uncultured bacterium. RNAcentral's name for it is "partial 16S ribosomal RNA". It matches the Rfam family "Bacterial small subunit ribosomal RNA", at positions 524 to 776 of the family's 1533-position model. The record is from RNAcentral.
CACGUAAGUUGCGAGCGUUGUUCGGAAUUAUUGGGCGUAAAGGGCAUGUAGGCGGUUUUGCAAGCUUGAUGUGAAAUGCAGGGGCUUAACUCCGGCACUGCGUUGAGAACUGCAUGACUAGAGUAACUGAGGGGCAGCCGGAAUUCCAGGUGUAGGGGUGAAAUCUGUAGAUAUCUGGAAGAACACCAAUGGCGAAGGCAGGCUACCAGCAGAUUACUGACGCUGAGGUGCGAAGGUGCGGGGAGCAAACAGG